GGUGCCAGCAGCCGCGGUAAUUCCAGCUCCAAUAGCGUAUAUUAAAGUUGUUGUGGUUAAAAGCUCGUAGUUGAACCUUGGGCCUGGCUGGCCGGUCCGCCUCACCGCGUGUACUGGUCCGGCCCGGGCCUUUCCCCUCUGUGGAACCUCAUGCCCUUCACUGGGUGUGGCGGGGAAACAGGACUUUUACUUUGAAAAAAUUAGAGUGCUCCAGGCAGGCCUAUGCUCGAAUACAUUAGCAUGGAAUAAUAAAAUAGGACGCGUGGUUCUAUUUUGUUGGUUUCUAGGACCGCCGUAAUGAUUAAUAGGGACAGUCGGGGGCAUCAGUAUUCAAUUGUCAGAGGUGAAAUUCUUAGAUUUAUUGAAGACUAACUACUGCGAAAGCAUUUGCCAAGGAUGUUUUCAUUAAUCAGGAACGAAAGUUAGGGGAUCGAAGACGAUCAGAUACCGUCGUAGUCUUAACCAUAAACUAUGCCGACUAGGGAUCGGACGAUGUUAUUUUUUGACGCGUUCGGCACCUUACGAGAAAUCAAAGUGCUUGGGCUCCAGGGGGAGUAUGGUCGCAAGGCUGAAACUUAAAGAAAUUGACGGAAGGGCACCACCAGGGGUGGAGCCUGCGGCUUAAUUUGACUCAACACGGGGAAACUCACCAGGUCCAGACACAAUGAGGAUUGACAGAAUUGAGAGCUCUUUCUUGAUUUUUGUGGGUGGUGGUGGCAUGGCCCGUUCUUAGUUGGUGGAGUGAUUUGUCUGCUUAAUUGCGAUAACGAACGAG
RNAcentral lists this ribosomal RNA (775 nucleotides) under Beauveria bassiana. Its description in RNAcentral is "SSU rRNA". It matches the Rfam family "Eukaryotic small subunit ribosomal RNA", at positions 563 to 1339 of the family's 1831-position model. The record is from RNAcentral. Lineage: Eukaryota; Fungi; Ascomycota; Sordariomycetes; Hypocreales; Cordycipitaceae.